GGAGUUUUUUUGGGUUUUUUUAAAAAAAAUUUGGGGGGACCUUUAUAUAAGGUUUUCCCCCCUGCUCAGGAUGAACGCUGGCGGCGUGCUUAACACAUGCAAGUUCGAACGAUGACUUUUGUGCUUGCACAGAAUGAUUAGUGGCGAACGGGUGAGUAACACGUGAGUAACCUGCCCCUGACUCUGGGAUAAGCCUGGGAAACUGGGUCUAAUACCGGAUAUGCACCGUGGACCGCAUGGUUCUUGGUGGAAAGAAUUUUGGUCAGGGAUGGACUCGCGGCCUAUCAGCUUGUUGGUGAGGUAAUGGCUCACCAAGGCGACGACGGGUAGCCGGCCUGAGAGGGUGACCGGCCACACUGGGACUGAGACACGGCCCAGACUCCUACGGGAGGCAGCAGUGGGGAAUAUUGCACAAUGGGCGAAAGCCUGAUGCAGCGACGCCGCGUGAGGGAUGACGGCCUUCGGGUUGUAAACCUCUUUCAGUAGGGAAGAAGCGAAAGUGACGGUACCUGCAGAAGAAGCGCCGGCUAACUACGUGCCAGCAGCCGCGGUAAUACGUAGGGCGCAAGCGUUAUCCGGAAUUAUUGGGCGUAAAGAGCUCGUAGGCGGUUUGUCGCGUCUAUCGUGAAAGUCCGAGGCUCAACCUCGGAUCUGCGGUGGGUACGGGCAGACUAGAGUGAUGUAGGGGAGACUGGAAUUCCUGGUGUAGCGGUGAAAUGCGCAGAUAUCAGGAGGAACACCGAUGGCGAAGGCAGGUCUCUGGGCAUUAACUGACGCUGAGGAGCGAAAGCAUGGGGAGCGAACAGGAUUAGAUACCCUGGUAGUCCAUGCCGUAAACGUUGGGCACUAGGUGUGGGGGACAUUCCACGUUUUCCGCGCCGUAGCUAACGCAUUAAGUGCCCCGUCCUGUGAUACCCCAAACCUC
This 925-nucleotide ribosomal RNA is filed under the name Paeniglutamicibacter sp. RNAcentral describes it as "bacterial SSU rRNA". It matches the Rfam family "Bacterial small subunit ribosomal RNA". The record is from RNAcentral. Lineage: Bacteria; Bacillati; Actinomycetota; Actinomycetes; Micrococcales; Micrococcaceae.